UAUAUAUAUAUAAGUGCCAAAUCCCUUUCUCCCUCCCUCCCUACCCGAUCCUCAUACUUUCCUUUCUCCCUCUCUCUCUCGCAUGCUCUCUGCUAGGCCCGAACGACGACGGCAGGGGCUCGGCGAAUGGCGGUAGACGGCGGCAGGGGGCUCGGGGCUGGGCUCGACAGCAACGACUGGUGGCUCGGGGCUGGGCUCGCAGCAACGACUGGUGCCUCGGGGCUGGGCUCGACAGCAACGACAGGUGGCUCGGGGGGUGGGCUCGUCGGCGGGUGGGGGGGUCUUGGGUCUGGGCUCGACAUCGCAGGGGCUAGGCAGAGGGCUGUUUGGCUUCGGGACUUUGAGAGACACGAGAACUAUGGCCAUGGCUGAAUCUAACGAUUUCGUUUCGGUUGAUAUGGAGAGGAUCUAUCUCGGUGGAAAGGUUGUGGUAACCAUUUGGUAUCGUGCACCAGAGCUGCUCCUUGGGGCAAAACAUUAUACAAGUACUGUUGAUAUUGGGCUGUUGGAUGCAUUUUUGCCGAGCUUUUGACUUUGAAGCCACUGUUUCAAGGAGCUGAAGUCAAAGCUACCCCAAAUCCAUUUCAGGUCCUUCUUUCGCCCAUUGUCCUUGACCGGCUUUGACUUUUUAAUAAAGUGAUUCCCUUGUGAGAUUGUUAUAAACCUUUUUGCUUUCAUUUAGUUCUCUCAUGCUUCUUUUAUUUUAUUUUUUCAACUUGACAAGAUAUUCAAGGUCUUAGGUACUUAUUUCAUUCUACUAUAAAACUCUCUUAUUUCUUUUCUUUAUGUUUGGGAUCAUUAUUGUUCAUUGUUAUUUCAUCAGGUCAUCCCACUAUAGAAAAGUGGCCAACACUUGCAAAUCUUCCGCAUUGGCAAAAUGAUUUACAGUAUAUUCAAGGCCACAAGUAGUAUGCUCUUGAUACAUAUAAUAUUUUCAACAGACUGUUUAUAGUGGUCACUGUAACAGAUUAAUUUAUUUCACUCUCAAUUGUGAUCUUCCUUCCCUUCCUUUUCCUUUUUUUUGCCGUGUUUUGAUAUUAUUUAUGUUUUAUUUUUCUUUCUUGUGUAUGCUUUUUAAAGUGACAAUCACAGGCUUCAGGGUUUUGUAAACAUCUCUUCAAAAAGUCCUGCAUUUGACCUCUUAUCUAAGAUACUUGAGUAUGUGUACCCCUUUAUAUUGCAUGAACUACAUUUUAUAUUUGUAUGUUAGUGAUGAUGUAGAUUGUAAUUUUUCAUGGAUUUAUAAACUUUGUAUAUUAGAGAGAAUCGUGGACUUCAUUUGUAUAUAUAUUCUUAUAUUUGUUUAUUCAUGUUGUAUGAGGCAUAAUACUCUUAUUUACCAAAGGAGAGAUACAAAUUCAACUUAACAAGAUGCUCUCUACACUAAAUAUGCAUAACCAAAAUCUAGAGCUAGUCAAAUUUAUUAUUUAGUAAUAAAUUCUACAAGGAGAGAAAAAAAAAAUCCUUGAAGAGAAACCCACAUUCAUUCUUUUCUAUGCAAGCUCAUUGGCAUGAGAACUGUUUUAAAAAAUCAUUUUAUUUCCUAUGUAUGAAGCUUCCACACUAAGUAGCGACAGACACUUGGUUUUUUAUUCCGGUAAAAAUCAAUUUAAACAAACCUAUCAUUUUCUUAGAAAUCAUAUUUACCAAACUAUCCAUGUAAGAGUUUAAACCAUAACAUUUUACUCCAACAUAAACCCUAAAAACACUUCUUCCUUCCUCAUCUUAGCCGCCACACUCUUCUCUCUGUUUGACCCCCUCCUUUUUGAAGCUCUAACUGCCACACUUAUCAACCAUGACACUCUUCUUCCAUUGACUUUUGAAGCUUUGCCGCAAGCUUCAUAGACCAAACUACCCCAUUGUUCUCCUCACCCAAACUGCUUCUCUCUUGGUCAUUUUGGGUCUCUCUUGGUUGAUUUGAGUCUUGAACGUUUCAAAGAACAACACAUUGUUGAAUGAUUUUACUGCUAUUUUUAGAGGUAAAUCUUUAAAUAAUCUAUGCUUUUUGUUCAAGUUUUCACAGUGUGUAACAGUCUUACAUAUCUAUUAAAACAAUAUAAUUAAUGUUUCUGUUAACUAUAUCCAGCAACUCAAAUUUGGGUUCAUAGGCAGGCUUCUGAUAAUUUGGUGUGCAAGAAAUUUGGUGUUGAUUUAUUUCUCUUCUUGUUUGGCAUGGUUUUAGGGAACCAGACAGAGUGGUCAAGGAGUCAAAGCUAAUUUGGUUAUUGACAAAUUUAAAUUAUAAGCUAGGUAGUUGACAGAAUGGAACAUUUGGUUUUGGAGCAAGAAAAGCAAUAUCCAUCUAGAGUAAGAUGACAACUUUCAAAUGCACAUUGCAGGUAAGGGAAAAGGAAAGCUGGACCAGCCAUGAGUUGGAGAGCGUUAGUGGCGGCGUGGACAUAUGUGGCAGCUCAACCACCACGGGCGAGGAUAUCUCAGUGGAACUAGGGUUGUAUCCCUUAUUUUUCUGUUUAGGUCGGCUU
This is an RNA transcript of Humulus lupulus (European hop), 2483 nucleotides long. It is a transcript of the gene named cyclin-dependent kinase E-1-like, with no coding region annotated. NCBI's taxonomy places the organism in Eukaryota, Viridiplantae, Streptophyta, Magnoliopsida, Rosales, Cannabaceae. The transcript is spliced from 5 exons. The record is from RefSeq and is a predicted model, not a curated record.